Molecule: ribosomal RNA, 489 nt
Filed under: uncultured bacterium
Lineage: Bacteria
Description: partial 16S ribosomal RNA
Rfam family: Bacterial small subunit ribosomal RNA
Source: RNAcentral
AUUGAACGCUGGCGGCAUGCCUUACACAUGCAAGUCGAACGGCAGCAUGAUCUAGCUUGCUAGAUUGAUGGCGAGUGGCGAACGGGUGAGUAAUACAUCGGAACGUGCCCUGUAGUGGGGGAUAACUAGUCGAAAGAUUAGCUAAUACCGCAUACGACCUGAGGGUGAAAGUGGGGGACCGCAAGGCCUCAUGCUAUAGGAGCGGCCGAUGUCUGAUUAGCUAGUUGGUGAGGUAAAGGCUCACCAAGGCGACGAUCAGUAGCUGGUCUGAGAGGACGAUCAGCCACACUGGGACUGAGACACGGCCCAGACUCCUACGGGAGGCAGCAGUGGGGAAUUUUGGACAAUGGGCGAAACCCUGAUCCAGCAAUGCCGCGUGUGUGAAGAAGGCCUUCGGGUUGUAAAGCACUUUUGUCCGGAAAGAAAUGGCUCUGGUUAAGACCUGGGGUCGAUGACGGUACCGGAAGAAUAAGGACCGGCUAACUACGU